Molecule: unclassified non-coding RNA, 264 nt
Filed under: Glomus sp.
Lineage: Eukaryota; Fungi; Glomeromycota; Glomeromycetes; Glomerales; Glomeraceae
Description: partial contains 5.8S ribosomal RNA and internal transcribed spacer 2
Rfam family: 5.8S ribosomal RNA (bases 1-72)
Source: RNAcentral
GUGAAUCAUCGAAUUUUUGGACGCAAAUUGCACUCUCCGGUUUUCCGGGAGAGUAUGCCUGUUUGGGGGUCUGUUUAAAAAAUAAUCGAUGCUGCUGCUGUGGUGGCGCUUCGGAAUUGGGUCAUCUUCCACCUUUCGGUGUUGUAAGCGACCUAAAAUUUUUCUUACGAUUUCUACUAACGUGUCUAAGAAUUUCUUGUACGUUCUCUACAUCUAAAUCAUAUUAGAUGCGACCGCCGCGUCGUGUUCGCUCUCGUAGUGUAU